RNAcentral lists this ribosomal RNA (446 nucleotides) under Melanobaris sp. CND798. RNAcentral describes it as "partial 28S ribosomal RNA". The record is from RNAcentral. Lineage: Eukaryota; Metazoa; Arthropoda; Insecta; Coleoptera; Curculionidae.
AACCGUUUAGGGGUAAACCUGAGAAACCCGAAAGGUCGAAGGGAGAAAUUCACCGCGUUUCGACGCAGGAGGCGUGCGGUCGAGCGACGGGGGACGUUCGCGUCCUCGGCGACUUCCGCGCGCGUCGAACCGGCGACGAACGCGUGCACUUUUCUCCUGGUAGGACGUCGCGAUCCGUCGGGUGUCGGUCUAAGGCUCGCGGUGGAGCCCGCCGUCGCGUUCGCGCGUCGGCGGACCCGCGUUGUUCCCGGCCGACUCGCUCGACGGUAUAGGAAUGGUCACGGGCCGCUCUCGGAGCGUUCGGCUCGCGGCAAGCGCGUCAGGAUCGUCGACGAUCGGACCUAGUGCCGUUUUCGACCCCUGGCGACUGUUGGCCGCGUAGUCCUCGAACAGACCCGCGCUUAAAAGACCGAUCCGCGACGCUAUAGCUUUGGGUACUUUCAGGA